AGAGUGAACGCUGGCGGUAGGCCUAACACAUGCAAGUCGAACGGCAGCACAGUGGUAGCAAUACCAUGGGUGGCGAGUGGCGGACGGGUGAGGAAUACAUCGGAAUCUACCUUUUCGUGGGGGAUAACGUAGGGAAACUUACGCUAAUACCGCAUACGCCCUUUGGGGGAAAGCCGGGGAUCGCAAGACCUGGCGCGGAUAGAUGAGCCGAUGUCGGAUUAGCUAGUUGGUGAGGUAAUGGCUCACCAAGGCGACGAUCCGUAGCUGGUCUGAGAGGAUGAUCAGCCACACUGGAACUGAGACACGGUCCAGACUCCUACGGGAGGCAGCAGUGGGAAUAUUGGACAAUGGGCGCAAGCCUGAUCCAGCCAUACCGCGUGGGUGAAGAGGGCCUUCGGUUGUAAAGCCCUUUUGUUAGGAAAGUAAAAGCAAUCGGUUAAUACCCGGUUGUUCGUGACGUACCCAAAGAAUAAGCACCGGCUAACUUCGUGACCAGCAGCCGAGUAACUC
Molecule: ribosomal RNA, 510 nt
Filed under: uncultured soil bacterium
Lineage: Bacteria
Description: bacterial SSU rRNA
Rfam family: Bacterial small subunit ribosomal RNA
Source: RNAcentral